UAAUACUUUCAGCAACGGAUGUCUUGGUUCCACAACGAUGAAGGACGCAGCAAAGUGCGAAAAGCAGUGUGAAUUGCGGAAUUCUAUGAACCAUCAGAUUUUCUGAACGCA
This 111-nucleotide ribosomal RNA is filed under the name Cryptosporidium andersoni. Its description in RNAcentral is "partial 5.8S ribosomal RNA". It matches the Rfam family "5.8S ribosomal RNA", at positions 1 to 108 of the family's 154-position model. From Rfam's summary of the family: 5.8S ribosomal RNA (5.8S rRNA) is a component of the large subunit of the eukaryotic ribosome. It is transcribed by RNA polymerase I as part of the 45S precursor that also contains 18S and 28S rRNA. The record is from RNAcentral. Lineage: Eukaryota; Apicomplexa; Conoidasida; Eucoccidiorida; Cryptosporidiidae.